CGUGGGUAACCUGCCCAAGAGAUCGGGAUAACACCUGGAAACAGAUGCUAAUACCGGAUAACAACAGAUGAUGCCUAUCAACUGUUUAAAAGAUGGUUCUGCUAUCACUCUUGGAUGGACCUGCGGUGCAUUAGCUAGUUGGUAGGGUAACGGCCUACCGAGGCGAUGAUGCAUAGCCGAGUUGAGAGACUGAUCGGCCACAUUGGGACUGAGACACGGCCCAAACUCCUACGGGAGGCAGCAGGC
Molecule: ribosomal RNA, 246 nt
Filed under: uncultured Lactobacillus sp.
Lineage: Bacteria; Bacillati; Bacillota; Bacilli; Lactobacillales; Lactobacillaceae
Description: partial 16S ribosomal RNA
Rfam family: Bacterial small subunit ribosomal RNA
Source: RNAcentral